UCCAGACUCCUACGGGAGGCAGCAGUGGGGGAUAUUGCACAAUGGGGGAAACCCUGAUGCAGCGACGCCGCGUGAGUGAAGAAGUAUUUCGGUAUGUAAAGCUCUAUCAGCAGGGAAGAAAAAAGACGGUACCUGACUAAGAAGCCCCGGCUAACUACGUGCCAGCAGUCGCGGUAAUACGUAGGGGGCAAGCGUUAUCCGGAUUUACUGGGUGUAAAGGGAGCGUAGACGGCAAUACAAGUCGGAAGUGAAAUACCCGGGCUUAACCUGGGAACUGCUUUGGAAACUGUAUGGCUGGAGUGCUGGAGAGGUAAGCGGAAUUCCUAGUGUAGCGGUGAAAUGCGUAGAUAUUAGGAGGAACACCAGUGGCGAAGGCGGCUUACUGGACAGUAACUGACGUUGAGGCUCGAAAGCGUGGGGAGCAAACAGGAUUAGAUACCCGCGUA
This 446-nucleotide ribosomal RNA is filed under the name uncultured bacterium. Its description in RNAcentral is "bacterial SSU rRNA". It matches the Rfam family "Bacterial small subunit ribosomal RNA", at positions 330 to 792 of the family's 1533-position model. The record is from RNAcentral.